UUUCCGUAGGUGAACCUGCGGAAGGAUCAUUAAUGCAUCUCUGACGGCGGAGGCGCGCCCUGCUCCGGACUGAUAGGCUGUGCAGCGGGCGCCGCCGAGUCGCACACCCAUCGCACACCCACCGGACACCCAUGCUGGCGAGGGAUCUAUCGCCUCGGGCCGGAACGCAAACACCAUUUCUAAAACAGAAUGAUCAGCGGAUCUGCGUGCCGUCUAUACAUAAACAACUAUCAACAACGGACCUCCUGGCUCACGCAACGAUGAAGAACGCAGCAGAUC
RNAcentral lists this unclassified non-coding RNA (279 nucleotides) under plant metagenome. Its description in RNAcentral is "partial contains small subunit ribosomal RNA, internal transcribed spacer 1, and 5.8S ribosomal RNA". The record is from RNAcentral.